Long non-coding RNA from Apis mellifera (honey bee), 298 nucleotides. RefSeq lists it as uncharacterized. Lineage: Eukaryota; Metazoa; Arthropoda; Insecta; Hymenoptera; Apidae. The record is from RefSeq and is a predicted model, not a curated record. The transcript is spliced from 2 exons.
ACGGCAUUAAGUAAGUAUCCUUUUAUAUCAUAUCUUUGUUGGAAUUUAGGAUUGGUCCGUAGCUAUUAAUAGUAAUUGUUUUGUUUGUAAUUUAAUGUUAUAUAGAUGUUCGAGUUAUUCUGAACAGAAUACAACGAAAAAAAACUUCGAUCCUGCCAGGAUUCGAACCUGGAAUCUUCUGAUCCGUAGUCAGACGCGUUAUCCGUUGCGCCACAGGACCGGCCUUGAUUUGGUGUAUUAUAUAUUAUCAGAAAUAUAACAUAUUGUUAAUAAUAUAAUAAAUAUAAUUAAAAUAACA